AUGAUGGUUUUCCAGGGCGACACAUUGCUCCAGAGCUGCUGUGGAAAUGGCUGGGGCAAACGAGCUGCUUUCCUGAUGGCUGCUUCAGUUUGCCAUUGGAGGAGCGCAGUGCAACAGCAACAAGAAGACCCCAAAGCAACCCAUGGUAGUGGUGUUUGUUGGGUGAGGUUUUGGCCUUUGCAGCUCAGUCCUGGAUCUGUUUGUGCAUGUGUUGAAUGGGAGCCCUGGGAUGAGGCUGGAGCAGAGAUCCAGGAAUCCUUGCUCGCAGGUGCUGGAGCACCAGGGCACUGUUUCCACAGGGAAACACCUUCCUGGAGUAGAGGUCUCCAAUCCUGUGGGAUUCAGGAAACUUGGCAGACGGUAGAGAGGGAGGAUUCAUGUUUGUGCCUACGAGCCACAGAAGAAUCCACUCUGGAGAAGCUGGGGCUUCACUGUUGGCUUCCUUCAUUGAGCCACUGGCCUGCAGGGCUGGGUUUCACCAGUUUCACGGUGUGGGUGCUCCACAGCAACAGCUCUUCCAGAGGCUGCUGGGCUUCUCUUUCCCUCCAGGGAAUUCCAGUCUCAGGUUUGGAUGUGCCAGUGCUGAGUGUGACACAGUCCUGCUGGUCCAGUGGCACAAACUGGUGUGUGAUAGCCUUCUCUGGAGUGGAAGAGUGCUUGUUCUAACCCCUUUCCUUUCCCUGCUUGGUUUCCUUUUGGCUUUCCUUUGUCUGGUGAGUUGAAAAGGCCCUCCUCCAUGGUCAGACACGGACACUAAGACUUGAAGGAGAAUACCAUGGGAGUUGAGUGCCUUUUUUGUACAAAAGGCUGUUCUUGUUGGCUUUCCCUUCCUGGCCAAACCAAAGAUUCCAGCUUCAACACCUCUAAACUCACAGAGGUUGUGCUGAUUGCUCUGCCUGUAUUUCUCCUUUGCUCACUUCUGCCUGAGCUACCGACCCAUGGUUCCUAUGACGGCUGGUGGAGCCCUUGUUGAUGCAGUUGGUGGAGUCUGGGACAUGCCCACUUCCAGAGCGAGUAUCUUAUCCAUAGUGAUUGCAGUGGUGGCAUGGAUAGUGACUAUAGGGGAUACAACUAAAAGCCUAGUAGCUCUCCAGCUAGAAGGCCAUGGUGGGUAUCUUGCAGUGUUGG
This 1128-nucleotide long non-coding RNA is filed under the name Amazona collaria (yellow-billed parrot). RNAcentral's name for it is "lncRNA (ENSACOG00000006817.1)". Lineage: Eukaryota; Metazoa; Chordata; Aves; Psittaciformes; Psittacidae. The record is from RNAcentral.